This 497-nucleotide ribosomal RNA is filed under the name uncultured bacterium. RNAcentral's name for it is "partial 16S ribosomal RNA". It matches the Rfam family "Bacterial small subunit ribosomal RNA", at positions 28 to 507 of the family's 1533-position model. The record is from RNAcentral.
GAUGAACGCUGGCGGCGUGCCUAAUACAUGCAAGUCGAGCGAACAGACGAGGAGCUUGCUCCUCUGACGUUAGCGGCGGACGGGUGAGUAACACGUGGAUAACCUACCUAUAAGACUGGGAUAACUUCGGGAAACCGGAGCUAAUACCGGAUAAUAUAUUGAACCGCAUGGUUCAAUAGUGAAAGACAGUUUUGCUGUCACUUAUAGAUGGAUCCGCGCCUCAUUAGCUAGUUGGUAAGGUAACGGCUUACCAAGGCAACGUUUCGUAGCCGACCUGAGAGGGUGAUCGGCCAACUUGGAACUAGACAACGGUCCAGACUCCUACGGGAGGCAGCAGUAGGGAAUCUUCCGCAAUGGGCGAAAGCCUGACGGAGCAACGCCCCGUGAGGGAUGAAGUUCUUCGGAUGGUAAGACUCUGUUAUAAGGGAAGAACAAAUGUGUAAGUAACUAUGCACGUCUUGACGGUACCUAAUCAGAAAGCCACGGCUAACUACGUG